Molecule: small nucleolar RNA, 75 nt
Organism: Aplysia californica (California sea hare)
Lineage: Eukaryota; Metazoa; Mollusca; Gastropoda; Aplysiida; Aplysiidae
Source: RefSeq, a predicted model, not a curated record
GUUGUUGUGAUGAAUUGUUUUGUUUACCGCCCCAGUCUGAUGGCUGUGACUGAAUGGUAAAAAUUCUGAUACGAC